CUGAACCUUCCACAACUGCCUGUAAGACCCCACACCUUGUCUCCAGGGGACUGGAUUGAUAUGUGUGCAGCUGUGUCCAGCUUUUAUGGGGAUUCCGAACUCACGACAAGCACUUUGCCGGUGGAGCCAUCUCCAGAGCCGCGUCACUUUCUGCUGUGAGUUGUGAAGCGAAUCACUCAGCAGCUCCAGUCUUGAUCCAUUGAAGACAAAGUGAGAGGGGAGCCUCCCCUACGGAGCCUUCAGAACAAACACGGAACAUAUGACCUCUCAUGGAGGCAGAAAGGGUAUGGUCGUCCAGAGAAGACAUUGAGGCACCCACUCUCAUGUGACAUCAGAGACCGCACUGCGAGCAUCUGUGCAAUAGAUCCUGACUCCAGGCCUGUCUGACUGACAUGGAGUCUGUCUCACUUCUGGACUCUUGGCCUUCUGAUCCAGCCCUCUGCCUCUCUGACACUUUUGUGCUUGGCUGGGACCCCAUAGCAUAGGACAGCCAGCCUGAGCCCUCCAGUCCUAGCCAGAGUCCUGGCUCCUGGUUCUCCAUUUCUGCUCCCCAGUGUCCGCUCCUUGGCCGAGGGGCUCACUCAGGAGCCCGUCUCUUUGUGGCGUUGAUUAGAGGCCUCUUCCCACAACAUCAAAGCUUCAAUUAACGCGGGCUGCUCACAACCCUCUUGCAAAACUCUGAUAAGAAUAGAAUUUUCUCUUGGAAAAUGGAUUUUUAUUUAGUUGUGUGUACUGUUGGUUAAAUGACCUACUCUAUACACCAGCGCUGAGAUUCUGGGGACAAUUAGGGGGCUCGUCAGGAACUGGUUAUCUGAAGGAAACAGGCACAGGCUGUUUAGCUGUCUAAUAUCCUGAUGGGGGUUGGGGGGGGGCAGAGGCAAAUUAAAAACAGGCUCCCCCUCUUCCAGAUGUGGGGAUGGGUGCUGGGCUGAGAUGGGGCUCUGUGGGGUGUGUAUGUGUGGCUAGAUGGUUGCUUCCAGCCUUGUGUCUAGACGAAUGCUCUCGUUCUCUGUCUCUGCUCCGUGUGUAUGUGUGUGUGUGUGUGUGUGUGUGUGUAAAUCCAUGUGUGCCAUAUAGGUACUGUCUAGAGUAUAAUCUGGCUUGCAAACAAUAAGAUUCAAGCAUAGAGCAGAGAUGGGGCCCUGGAGUUAGGGAGCAAGGCUUGCUAAGGAUGCUGGCUCCUUAUUUCUU
Non-coding RNA from Arvicanthis niloticus (Nile rat), 1191 nucleotides. NCBI's taxonomy places the organism in Eukaryota, Metazoa, Chordata, Mammalia, Rodentia, Muridae. The record is from RefSeq and is a predicted model, not a curated record.